RNAcentral lists this ribosomal RNA (406 nucleotides) under uncultured delta proteobacterium. RNAcentral's name for it is "partial 16S ribosomal RNA". It matches the Rfam family "Bacterial small subunit ribosomal RNA", at positions 338 to 735 of the family's 1533-position model. The record is from RNAcentral. Lineage: Bacteria; Deltaproteobacteria.
CCUACGGGAGGCAGCAGUGAGGAAUCUUGCGCAAUGGGGGCAACCCUGACGCAGCAACGCCGCGUGAGUGAUGAAGGCCUUCGGGUCGUAAAGCUCUGUCAGAUGGGAAGAAGGUUCCGUUUCUGAAUAAGAAACGGAAUUGACGGUACCGUCGAAGGAAGCACCGGCUAACUCCGUGCCAGCAGCCGCGGUAAUACGGAGGGUGCAAGCGUUGUUCGGAUUUAUUGGGCGUAAAGAGCGUGUAGGCGGUCGGGUAAGUCAGAUUGAAAAUCCCUUGGCUUAACCAAGGAAGGGCAUUUGAAACUGUCUGGCUAGAGUACGGGAGGGGGAAGUGGAAUUCCCGGUGUAGGGGUAAAAUUCGUAGAUAUCGGGAGGACCACCGGUGGCGAAGGCGGCUCCCGGGCCC